GUUUCCCCUCCCUCCAAACAGGGACCAUGGUUUUUAAAACUAAUAAACCCCUUAAACCUCAUGAAGCCCACUUCAACCUUUUUAAAUGGCUAUUUUCAGAAAGGAAAAGGGAAAAAGAAGAAGCCAGGAAACAUGUUUGGGGCAAUGCCUUGGCAGGAGGGGGAAUGACCCCUGCCAGGGCAGAUGGCAUCUGCCCCUCCCUCAGGUCCAAGGUGGCAGCCCAUGAAGAAUCUGGGAGGGGAAAGCCUCCCACUCGUGGAAGAGCCUUGGAAGUCCUCAUAGAAAGGAGAGACUGAACAGACAGGCGCAGGAGACAGGAACUUCAUGGUACAGAGAGGCUCUGGAGAAGGUUCAACAGGUUGGAAUUUCAAAAUCAGAGAAGGACCAGCAAAGUUGAUUUGGAAGUGCCCCAGGGAGAGGCUGGUGUGAGCCACUCUGCAUUUGCCACAUGGGCUGAGGAUCCUCCCCAGCUUCCUGAGGGAUGGCAUCAGCUCUUACAAUUUCUGAGGGUGAAACGGGUCUUUGGAGUUUCUGGAUUUGCCUCCCGGACACAAGGAGAUUCCCAGCAAAUCCGCUAUUUACACUUGUAAAUAGAAGUGUUUCGCUUCUAUU
Molecule: long non-coding RNA, 612 nt
Organism: Herpailurus yagouaroundi (jaguarundi)
Lineage: Eukaryota; Metazoa; Chordata; Mammalia; Carnivora; Felidae
Exons: 2
Source: RefSeq, a predicted model, not a curated record